GCGAGGCAGGGGCCACCGCCGAGGGGGAUUCUUGCCCCCACUUUGCACCACACACUCCUUUUCCAGCCCAGGGGCACAGGAACAAAAUCAGCCUAAAGCCGACCAGGCCGAGCCGUUGAGGAAUGCUGGGGCUUGGCGUCAGAAGGGAUGGGACCAGAGAGAAGGGUGUGAAGGAGACCCCGGUAGGGGCAGGACAUUGCGGGUAAAGAAGGGGAAGAAGAGGCCGAGAAAUCAAGGGCCAGACUGUGAAGGAGAAUAAAGGAGGUCAAAGAGAGGUCAUAUCUUCGUACCUCACUUCCUGACACAAACAAGUUUUUACUGUUGUCAGCAACAAAGCCCUAAUAUAGCUGCGGAAGAGAGAAAAACUGCAUUGUAUUUUGCCUCCUGCAAGCAUCAUCAACACAGUUACCGGAGGAAUGUAAUUCCAGAAACCUUUAAACCUGGUGGUGAUGGUAAUUAUGUAUCAAGCGCCUGAUUCUAUUUCUGUUAUUAUUGUUUUGUCAUUUCUGUUCUACCCAAGAAGCUGGCUGAACUCGCAGAGGGACAAAUCCAGUGUUUCUUUUUGACUUGGUAAAACUGAAUCAGACCUGGUAGAAAACUCAUUGCUCUUGAGAGAAAAAAAAAGUAGGAGCCACGAAAUGUCAUUUUAACAGAGCGUGGGUUUUGUGACUGUAGGAAAGGAUUUAAGGACGCUCCUUCUGUUCGGUUUCCUAUGUAACGAGCAAAGGCUACACGCACGCACAGACGCCACAGCUCUCGGAUGCUGUGGCUCCCUUAUCUGGGCUUCUGCAGCUCCAGAAGCCCCUCCGGGAUGCUGCGAGGGGCACUCGGUGGGUGGUGGUACGAACGCUGCGGCCGCCGCCGCCAGUCCUGCUGCUGCUGUUGUUGCUGCUGCAGUCACGUGGGAGCCCCUUUAAGUUUCCAUAGAGAGGCCUCUCCGGUGUCACAUGAUGGACAUGAUAUAAUGAAACAACAUUGUGGAGAGGAAAGCAUUAGGGGAGCCCACGGCUACAAAAACAAGUGAGUGAGAAGAGGUGGGAGGAAGAGAAACUACGCCACCUCCCCUGCAGCCGAGCCGCACGCAGCAGCAGCCCGCGAGGAGAAGUGGGCGACGCCGGGGGGCAGGGAGACCGGGUCCUCAGCUCCGGCCGGGGACCCCGCCGCCCACCGCGGAGAGAACAACUUUUAGCCGGCGGCCUCGGCCAGCACUGCACCUGUCUCCGGAGCCUCCAUCGCUCCUCGUGAUGAUCAAAGGGAAAUUCUAGAAGAAUAUGCUCUACAAAUAUACAUGCGCAUCAUUUUCCCCCUUGCGUCUCGCUCUGGAGGAAAGAAAGAGAAAGGGAUUGAAACAGAAGCGUGUGUUCAGCCUCAAGGCAUUUUAUUAAUGCUUUCCAGGGUUAGAAGAGUUGGGAUAUGUUACCAUCUGGAGUUUCUCUGCCUCGCUGAUGAUCUUAGCUCAAACCUGCCAGUUUAUGGGAGGUGAUAGAUAACACCUUGUAACGUCUGAGUUGCAAUAAUAUCUGCCUCUAAGAACUCAGGAGGACUUUGUGGGAGCGAAGGUAGUGAGUCAUACCUGCAGGCAAGGAGAGGAGAGUUCAUUGAGCCUCUUCAUUCGGUUGGGAGGUUUCCUAGGCAACCAUGUAUGCAGUCAUUAAAAGAUGAGGAACUAAGAGGAGAAAAAUGGAAGAAACAGAGGAACUUUUAAUGGAACAAAAUAAACCUCUGAACAGGACAAGUCCAGCCUGUGCUUGGGGAUCCUCUGUGUGACUGCUCUGUGGUGCAGAUCUUCUGAACAAAUGCCUGCUGAGGAUUUCUGUGCCUGGAAAAUGUCUGUCAACAGAUUGCUUUCGCACUCCUGUGUAAGUAGAGGCUUGUGCUCGUAAAUCAACCUCUAGGGAGUUUUGUUUUAUUUUGUUCCUGGAUGAUUCUCCAGUAAAUUUUUUUAAAUGGUCAUCAGUGUUUGAUCUCUAUUCCUUUUCUAUUAAACACUCAACUCCCAAUUUACUGUCAUAAAAAGUCUAUAACCUGAACUCCUGCUUAAAAGCAAGGGUACAGAUCCGUAUUCAGAUCUUAGAAUGGGAAGAGGAGAAGAAGGCAGAAAAGAUUAAAGAUACUUGUUUCAAUUAAUUCAGUAGGAGAUGCCAUUUGUAGAUCUUUUCCGGUUUUAGUCUUCAUCAGACUCCUCUGCAGUUACCUACUCUCUGAAUCGAUGCACAGCAAAAUGUAUGAAAGCAUGAUCUGUGAGCUUUUUCCAUUUACGAGCUGUGACAGAUCUGUUAGCCACAUCUCUGCUUAUAAUGUGCUAAAGGAAAAAUGAUUUAUUAUCUCUAUCAUCAUAGCUAUCAUUUAUUGAAUGUUUACAUUGUGCUGUUGCGAGUUCGAAUUGCUUUACCUGAUUUAUCUUAUUUAAUUCUCAUGGCAACCAUAGGUGGUAGGUACUGUUAUCAUCCUUGUUUUACAGAUGAGGACACUGAGGCACAGAGAGUUAAUGCAAUUUACCCAGGGUUGUGCAGGGAGCGAGGUGCAGAGCUUGGCGUUCUGGCUCCAGAAGUCUGCAUGUGGCUGUCUUGCCAUACUGCCUCACGGGAACGGGGAACUUAGGAGGAUAAACUGCUGGGCUGUAUUUCGGAGACAGUAUUUUAUUACUGUCAUAAUCACAUGAAUGAUCUGUUGGGCUAGUCACUAUGCUCUUUUGACUUGAGCUUCCUUAAGAUUGGUGGGAAACAAGGCUUUCGAGAAGAUGUGACUUGCUUAAGGUCACACUGCAGGUCACAAGUGUAGCUGACGGUCCAGGACUCUGACCAUUCAAUGCUAGCCAAAUCCUACUAAUUUCCAAGUUUUCUCCUUCCUCUUGGUGGAUUGAUUGAUGCUGCUUCUGCUGAUCAGAGCCAAAGCUGGUUUGAAUGGUUUGCUCAUGUGCUCAUUGGUGAAACCCUGACAUCGGAGCCAGUUUGCAUUCACAGUUCCGUGUGGCCGUGUGAAGAUUAGCCAUUGUAGUAUCUAUAAAGCUCUGAGCAGCAGAGAACCACGGCUAAAAGCCUGGGCUUGGAAUGAGGCAGAUCGGGUCUGAAUCCUGGUCUUGCCAUUCACAAGCUUUGUGACCAAGGGCAAGUCACAGAUGUGCUCUAAAGCUCUGUUCUCUCACCCGGAAAAUGGAGAUACCACCACCAACCUUAUUAGGUGGUUAUGAACGUUGAAAAAAUGCAUGUAAAGCAUGUAGCAAUGUCUGGCACAGAGUAAGUAUUCCAAAAAUGGAAGCUAUUAUUGUUUUUCAGAGUACCUUCCCGUCCAUUUCUCAGUUCAUUUUGUACUUCACCCUGAAAAGGCGUCUAAUAAAAUAACAAACAUUUGUGUAGUGCUUUAAAAAUUACAGACUGUUUGCACGUACUAAAUUACAUCUCACCCUAACAACCAUUGCAGUACAGGAAUUUAUAUCUCCAUUCUCUAGAUCAGGAUAAUAAGGCUCAGAAAAAUUAAAUGAUUGCCCAAGAGCACAUAGCUAGUAAGUAGCACAGCCAGGACUUCAGCUCAGAACCACAGCUCCAGAUCCUGUGCUACUCGUUUGUUUGCUUCCUGUAGGAAAGCUUUCCCUAAAGGUGUAUAAAUCAACAGAGAAUGACUUACAACUGUGUGAUCCAGCUUUGUAGCGGUAACAGUUGCAUCUUUAGUCUGGCCUACAUACUCAAGUUAGGACUAUUGUAUCCUGAUGUCUGUAACAUUUUGAAACUAGGAUCUUAAAGAACUGUUGUAGUCAGAUACAGCCUCCUUGUGAAAUCCUCAGGCCCCAAGGGAAGUUAUCUUAAUCCAGUUUGCUCAUGCAAGAACAGACUGGCAUUUCACUUCAAUGAAAACAACGUACUUCCACUGUUCGGCUUUUGCCACACAGGAGUUACUGGUGUGGUUUAUUGAUUCACAUUUCAGGCUCCAACUUUCCUAUCAGAUUUGGAAGAAAAAAUACAAAGAAGGGCAUCUUGCUCAAAAAGCAGCAUAAAGUACAGCAGUGAAGACUGGAUUUUGAAAUGGAAACACAUUCUCAUGGCUUGUGGGCUGAGAGACAAUAAGGAAGGAUGUUGUUCUUGAAAGAUGAUUAUUUUAAUGCUGGAGAUGGAGAGUUUGGCAAUUUUAAGGGUGUGUUCUGCAUGUAAGAAAGAGUUGUUUAAAAAUAACAUUACUUUCAAAUGAUGCAAUACCUGAAAAUUGGCGAUGGUUAAAAUAGAAACACCCUGAGUUACAGAAAUUCAGCCCUACAGUAUCCUGGCCUAAAAAUACGGAACAAUCAGGUUGAUUGUUGGAGACUGGAGGAUAAGGAGGAAUGGAAACAUGGUAAUGUUUACUGAGUCAAAUCUUUCCUUGUAGUUGAAUGUUACGGAAAGACUCAACAAAGUAAGCGGAUACCAGCUGCUGUCUUCCCGUUUCCCUGUGCACGUCCUGGAAAGAGAAUGAAUGAACCCCUAUUAAUUUAUCAACUUUUUUUUUUCAUUUCCCAACUAGCGAAUGAUGCGAUUUUUUUUCCUAUGUUAAUUUGGUAGCCAGUCUCCUCAUGCAGACCUUUUUUCAGGAAACUGGCCUCUUGCUUUAGAAGAUUAUGUGAAAACAGAAGCCCAAACUCAGGAUCCCUAUUUCAGUGUGUUUUAAGUCAUUUUACAGUCACUAAGUACCUCAGUUUCCCCCCAAGGAGCUUAAAAACUGAAGGGAAGUUUUGACUGGUCUCUGUUUAUUAUGCUUUAUCUGCUGAAAAUGCCUUGUCAAACUGGGCUCACAUGGAGAGACAUAGAUGCAAAAGAAUAUGUCCAUCUUUGUUCUUCUGCUGAAUUUUUUGGAAGCAUACUCAAAAGAUAAUACAGAAAACUUACCAUAUCUGUUUGUUUCUGCUAAGGGAGCAAAAGAGUAUGGUGUGUCUAUAGUAUGGAUGUGUGUGUGUGUGUAUGUACAUCUGGGAGUGGGACAUAUAUUUGAUGUAUGAGAUAUGUAUGAUCUUAUCAGACAUAAGUAAAAGGAAGACAUCCAUUCUUUAGGAAAAUUUUCCCCAUAACUGAAGUGUCAAAAUCUUUUGAAAAAAACUUCUAAGUGGCAAUAGGCAAAAGCUGUGAUUAGUCAUUUGUAAAAAAAUAAGCAGACCUUUUUGUUCUGGAUUUUGGAUUUUUUAACUGAUGAGAAUAAUCUGGCUGUACCUUGCGUACUUCAAUCACUGAUAUUAUGAAUUACAAUAGCAUAUACAGAAGGAUGCAGCGGAGCCCUGAAUUAAUAAAAAAAUUAGUGAAAUCAUUAUUUGAGAGUUCCAGUGAUUCUUCCGUCUUGGCACUUUUUCAGGUUUAAAUGCUUGAAUUUACUAUCCAACUGGAAUAUUUAACUGCCUGCUGCUUCAUAAAGUAUGUGCAUUUCUUUGCAGUCUAUGAGCUAUUGCAUCUUUGAUAAACCGAUUGCUACACAUCUCUGUAGCCCAUGCUGUCCUAUUCCCUUAUUUACAGAGAUGAGAAGACUAGCCUGGUAGCAGUAGGCAUGUGCGGUGGAUGCUUCUCCAUUAUGAAGGAUGAGUUUGUAUUGGGGUCUCCUGUGAAGAGAUAAGCUGUCAAGCCUAUAAGGAGUAAGAACGUUCAUCACAUCUAAGUAAGCACCCUGCCCCUCCUGGCUUGUCAGCAUCCUGCUGAAUCCAUUUGAAAUCGUCAACCACAGGCACAUUGUAGUUGGAGGUUCUUCCUAUACUCAUAGCAGAGAUUGUAAAUGAGGGUGAUGUAUGAGCAAAAUCAAAAGGAGAAAGUAAAGUUUAGUUAAUUUAUUGAAACCAAGAGAACAGACAGAAUGCACGGUACAGCCAGGAUUAGAACCCAUUCAUCACGAUAAAACCAAAAAAAGGUGGGGGAGUGUUUUAGGUUAAAAGAGACCAAAGAGUCUUAGUGAGUGAACCUCGCUGGGAUCUGGGUUUGAAAAAAAACCAAGUAUAAAAGACAUUUUUUUAGAGAAAGUAGGAAAAGUUGAAUAUGGACUGGAUAUUGGAGGAUACAAAGGAAUUGUUAAUCUUCUUAGGUGUGAUAAAGAUAUUGUAAUUAUACAGGUGAAUGGCCUCAUUUUUUUAGACAUGCUCAAGAAGUGAGGAGCAGAGUGUUGGGAUCGUUGUCAAUUUACUUUCAAAUGAUUCAGCAAAAAAAUAUACAUAUAUCUUACAUAGAGAUAACAUAGCUAAAGCAAAAAUGGCAAAAUGAACAAUUGGUGAAUGUAGGUGGUAUGAAUUUAGGAAUUCAUUUUUUUGUCAUUCAAAUUUACUAUAUGUCGGAAAGUUGUCAUAACAGUUAAAAAAAAGAAUGCUCGUCCCUUUAGUUAGGUGCCCGGACACACCAAGUAUCUUCUUGGAUCCCUGGAACACUAAAGGGAGCGACAAUAGGCUUCCUAAUAAAAUGCUAUCAAGCACCUAGGGAAGAGAAAAGACUGUGGCAAAAGAUAAUGUUAAGGAGAGCUGAGAAUACAAAGCCUUACUUUUGGAGGGGGCGGAGGAGAAUCUUGAAUAAAGCUAACAAAAUAUCCUUAACUCAUAGAUGCAUCUAAGGAAUUCCAUUCUGGAAAAAACAUUAGGAUGUCAUUAGCAUCAAUAUAUUACUUUCCCUCUGAGCUAUUCCAUUGUCCUCCCUGGACCCUGAAAUCAUAGUAAUCCUUUGAAUCAAACAGAAUUAUCUCCAAGUGAAAGAACUAGGUGUAGGAAAGCGUUUUCUUUCACUUCUACCAGAGCACCUGCUUACUUUGUACCAUUUGUACGUAUGUUGUAAGGUUCUUCAGCGCCACGUUCUAGUUAUCCUGCCCUGGGGACUUGGACCCCAGGAUGAGCUCUGCUUCUUUACCCAAGUCAAGGAUUUCCCUUGACUUCCCUUGAGUAACGGGGUUGACGUGAGCCUUUGCGUCUAAGUGAUAAAACUGAACCUUUGGGCAGCUCAAGAAUGAAGAGUCACAGGCGUGCCCCUCCCACCGCCCCGCAACACCAGAUUUGGUGACAUCAGUAUAUGCAUGUAUGAGAUUUGUUAAAGCUCUAUUUAGACCACAAAGUAAAUAACUCACAACCAGGUUCAACUUUUUCCAUUCUAGGUUGUCUUGAGUUUAUUGUGAGAGCAUUAUGGAAAAAAAAAAAAAAAAACAGAUCAUAAAGCUUCUUCAGGAAGCUGGUUUCAUAUGGUGGUUUAGAUUUAAAUAGUGAUUGUCUAGCACCAUUUGAAAUCAGUGUUCUUGGGGGAGACCAGCUGCACUACCAGGGGCAAAAGGAACGAAUAGAACAGCCCCGAAGAAUUUGAAAGCAAAGACCAGACGGCCGUGAGAACCUGCCUGCUGUUGUAGCUGAUCCGUCCCACAGUGGUAUUAUAAAUACCAAGUUAAUUAUGCAGGAUGUCUGGUUAUUAGAACUUCAUACUCGUUUGUGUAAUAAACCUUCUGUAGUACUUUUCCUGUAAUACAGACUCCAUCGUGCUUGGGUGAAAGGGCCGAAUGUAUGGCAGAUUUAUUAAUCUCUGGGCCCUCCCAACCCUCAUGUCCUCCUGUGACCCCUUAGAGGAUGACUGAUUUCUUUUGGUGUUCAGAGUCAAUAUAAUUUUCUAGCACCAUCUGAAAUCGGUUAUAAUGAUUGGGGAAGAGCAGCGUGCAGCCAAUUAAGAAGAGAAAAUAUAUUGGUGACCUUCGGGGCCAUAAAUAAGAAGAAAACAGAAAUACCAAGCAGAAAUACCAAGGUGGUUUUUCUUCUUUGGGUUUUUAAGGUGAGUUUCAUUGCCCUGAAUUACGUGUUAUGCUAAUAAAUGGUUAACUAUUAGCAUAUUGCUAAUGGUUAUAUUUUAGAAAAAUUCCACAGAAUUUGUGGGGAUUUUUGUUUUGAUGCAAGAUACCUAGAAAAAAGUGGGUAAAAUCCAUGACUGCCUCAGAUCACGUGAAAGGAGCAGAGUGAGAUGUUACACAGUGAGAUGCUGUGUAACCGCAUCCCUGGACACUCCCACCUGAUGGUGGAGCUCACUCUGUGGUAACCAGGUUGUUUUCUUCUUUCUUUCUUUCUUUUUUUUUUUUGGUGAGGAAGAGUGGCCCUGAGCUAACAUCUGUGCCAAUCUUCCUCUAUUUUGUGUGUGGGACGCCACCACAACAUGGUUGAUGAGUGGCGUAGGUCCGUGCCCGGGAUCCGAACCUGCAAACCCUGGGUCCCCGAAGCGGAGUGCGUAAACUUAACCACUACGCUACCAGGCCAGCCCCUGGGUCAUUUUCUUAAAAGGUAGCACCUAGCUCAAGCCAACUAGAAGUUCAGUCAAACAAGGCGCACGAGGAAAAAUGGUACAGAUAACUAGGUUUCUGUGUCUAGGACAGAACUAAGUUAAUACGUUUCCGUUCAGUUUAGAAAGCAAGGUGAAGAAAGCCACAGGUUGUACUGGAACUGUUUUCCUAAAUUAUACCGUGUUACCAUGGAAGAGAAGUUGUUAGACCAAAAACAACAGAAUUUUCUAGGUCUAAGCAAGGGGGCGAAAAGGCUUAAGAGUGAGCUGUGUCAGCCACUGUACCACCCAUGGGGCAUGAUGCUGUUCUGCCCACAGGUACCAACUUAGCAGAGGUCAGCCUGCUGCCGCCACCCACCGUCUCCACGUGGCAUCCCAGACAACAGAAGGGGCACCUGGGGGAGUUCCAGGCCUUGUCCUUCCCUUUUCACUUGGGCCUGGAGAAGCUCUGUGGGGCCUGACAGUCACCUGAUACCUGCCUACCCUGCUUCACGAAGCUCAGCCUCCACCUUUCCCCCCCUCUCACACCUGCCCCCCCACACCUGCCCCCCCUCACA
Long non-coding RNA from Diceros bicornis minor, 8785 nucleotides. RefSeq lists it as uncharacterized. The transcript is spliced from 7 exons. NCBI's taxonomy places the organism in Eukaryota, Metazoa, Chordata, Mammalia, Perissodactyla, Rhinocerotidae. The record is from RefSeq and is a predicted model, not a curated record.